CCCGCCUAUUUAUAUUAAAUUUAGAAUUUUUUUGAACUUAGAUUAAGAUGAUUUAUGCCGGAGAAAUGAAAACGAGUUUAUUCCAACAAAAUUAUUUUCAAAAGCUUUUAUAAAAUUUAGUCUUUUGAAUUUAUGUGCAUUGCAUAAAUUGAAUUAUAUGAAUGUGAUUAAUUCUAUAUGCUAAUAUUAUUUUUAAUACUACAUGAUUUAAUUUAAGUCUAAGUUAGGCUUUAAUUAUUUUGAAUGUGUUGAGCCUCGACAAAUAUUAUUUUGGGCCCUAGUCUUAAUUAAGCCUUCCUUGUUAAUAAUUAAGCCCAAAAAGAGAAGCCCAACCCACGCUUCCUAGCUGCCAAGUACAGCACCUCCAUUUUUACUCCUUCACCCAUCUCAACCAUGCGCCCACUCUUUUGCACGCUUCCUACCAUUUUUGACUCCUUCACCCAUGCUUCCUAUCAGCCACCCCACUCCAUCUCAUGUCAACCCAAUCAACUUCAAAAGUCAAGAUUUAGUCAUGCUUGGCAGCCACCAACUCCCCUAAUUUCAGCCCUCAAAUAUCUCUGCAUAAUUGAAGGAAACCCAUCCUUUGCACUUUCACUAGCAACUCAAAUAUCCUUCAAAUUACUCUCUCGUUCCAGCCUAUCCAUGGAGUUUCAAGUAUACAACAAGAGACCACCAUUCAAAGAACUCUUCCCCUACACAGACAUCACAAGGCUUUGUGACCAGGGGGAUUAGCGCUGCUUUCCCAAGACAGGUUUUUAUGUGUAUGAUCUUCAGGCUUUGCCUAUCCAGGUGGGCUUACUUUCCAAAUGUAUAAAGUAUGAUUGAGUUAUUAAGCUCUAAAUGUUUCAAUGAAAUGCAAAUUGUUUAUUCUAUUAAAUGCAAACUGUUUAUCCAAUAAAAUAUUUUGUGCACUCUGCUCCGUUUAAGGCUCGCAACAAUGAAUCGAUCGAGGUUCUCUCUUGACCUAACACGUUAUUUGAGAAUUGUGUACACCUAUUAGCUGACCUGGUGGGUUGAUCUCCAUCGGGCACUAAUCAUGUAUGAGGCGUUAUAAGGGUGCUCGAUGGGAUGUGUUCCGGAGCAUUGGGUCCCUAAUGGGAACUUGGCUGGGUUACGCCCUCAGUCCAAGUAAAGCAGGAGUAAUGGAUCCGUCGGUGGCUAAAAGGUCCGGGAUCACAGCGAGUAACGGAAAGGGAGUGUGACAUGUGCGCACAAAUGAAAGAAAAUAUUUUAACAUGCUUAGAAGUUAUUUCAUUUUAAAACCUUCUAAGUUAUGUAAAUUAUGAUUGGAUAAACUGCCUUUAAGAAAAUAUGAAAUGUUUAUGAAAAUGCAUGCCCACUAAGUACAUUAGUACUUAGCCCAAAAAUACUUUCAAAUGUUUUCAGGUUGGCUGGCCGGUGCUGACGGGACGGAGCUGAGACUAGAGAUAAAUUCCUAUGUUAGACUUCCGCUGUAGCAAUUACUCUUAUACAUCUUUUGUUUUCUCAACUUAAGAUGACUUCAUUUGAGCUUCAAUUUAAAAUUUAUAGUUUUAUGUUAAUGAACGUCGGUUGUCAGAAGCAUGAAACAAAACUUGUGAUCCAAAGGGGCCUAGCCUGACUUUCUAUCCUAUUUCGGGUUUUAACAAGGUAUUUCCCUUGUUUAUUUCUAUGAAUUAUUCACACCUCGAUUAUAUUUA
Long non-coding RNA from Salvia miltiorrhiza (redroot sage), 1679 nucleotides. RefSeq lists it as uncharacterized. The transcript has 2 exons. The record is from RefSeq and is a predicted model, not a curated record. NCBI's taxonomy places the organism in Eukaryota, Viridiplantae, Streptophyta, Magnoliopsida, Lamiales, Lamiaceae.